GACGAACGCUGGCGGCGUGCCUAACACAUGCAAGUCUUACGAGAAAGGGUAGCAAUAUCCCGAGUACAGUGGCGCACGGGUGAGUAACGCGUAGGCAAUCUGCCUUCAGGACGGGGACAACCCCGAGAAAUCGAGGCUAAUACCCGAUGUUGCAACGGAGCCGCAUGGUGCUGUUGUGAAAUGUUUUCCCGCUUCGGCGGGAUGACGCCAGAAGAUGAGCCUGCGUCCCAUUAGGUAGUUGGUGGGGUAGAAGCCCACCAAGCCGACGAUGGGGUAGCUGGUCUGAGAGGAUGGCCAGCCACACUGGAACUGAGACACGGUCCAGACUCCUACGGGAGGCAGCAGUGAGGAAUAUUGCGCAAUGGCCGAAAGGCUGACGCA
RNAcentral lists this ribosomal RNA (381 nucleotides) under uncultured bacterium. RNAcentral's name for it is "bacterial SSU rRNA". It matches the Rfam family "Bacterial small subunit ribosomal RNA", at positions 28 to 390 of the family's 1533-position model. The record is from RNAcentral.